UACGUAGGGUGCAAGCGUUGUCCGGAAUUAUGGGGAGUAAAGAGCUCGUAGGCGGUUUGUCACGUCGGAUGUGAAAACCCGAGGCUUAACCUCGGGCCUGCAUUCGAUACGGGCUGACUAGAGUUCGGUAGGGGAGACUGGAAUUCCUGGUGUAGCGGUGAAAUGCGCAGAUAUCAGGAGGAACACCGGUGGCGAAGGCGGGUCUCUGGGCCGAUACUGACGCUGAGGAGCGAAAGCGUGGGGAGCGAACAGG
This 253-nucleotide ribosomal RNA is filed under the name uncultured bacterium. Its description in RNAcentral is "partial 16S ribosomal RNA". It matches the Rfam family "Bacterial small subunit ribosomal RNA", at positions 524 to 776 of the family's 1533-position model. The record is from RNAcentral.